CAGUGCGUAUACGCUCUUCUUAAAGACAUAAGCCAUGCAUGUGCCAAGUUCAUACAUUUACAAUGUGAGACUGCGGACGGCUCAGUAUAUCAGUUAUAAUCUGCUCGAUUGUUUUGGUUAUUGGAUAACCGUGGGAAAUCUAGAGCUAAUACAUGCAAAGUAGCUGUACCAGUGUAUGCUGGUACAGUGGCAUUUAUUAGAAAAGACCAACCACGUACUUUGUACGUGAGGUGAAUCUAGAUAACUGUGCAGAUCGUAAGCGUAUGCUGACGACAUUUCGAUUGAAUUUCUGCCCUAUCAACUACGUUGGUCGUGUAGAGGACUACCAAGGUUGCUACGGGUACGGGGGAUAAGGGUUCGAUUCCGGAGAGGGAGCCUGAGAAACGGCUACCACAUCCAAGGAAGGCAGCAGGCGCGCAAAUUACCCAAUCCAGACAGUGGGAGGUGGUAACGAGAAGUACCUGAUGACGACGUAAGUUGUCAGUCAGGAAUGGUAGCAAUUUAAGCAAUUGACUAGAGAAACAACUGGAGGGCAAGUCUGGUGCCAGCAGCCGCGGUAAUUCCAGCUCCAGUAGCGUAUCUCAAAGUUGCUGCGCUUGAAACGCUCGUAGUUGGAUCACAAACUGCAAGUUAGUGGGUCGUAUUACGUUGGCAAUAGCCUUGUAGUGAACCAAAGGUGCGUUCUCGUAUCUUUGGAACACUGCAAGUGUCACGUAGUACGGCUUUGAGCUAACAUGUAGUAAUUGCACGUAAGGAUGAGUGUUGGCCUUGAGUGUGCUGACAUUCGUGUCUUACGGGGUGUGCCUUGAGUAAAUCAUAGUGCUCAAAGCAAGCGAAAGCUUGAAUGUUACAGCAUGGAACGGACAAUCGUGUAUGGUGUGUACUGGUUCGGGUAAUGGUAGAGAAAUCUGCCAUUACUUCAGUACGCGACACCGACCGCCAAUUACGGAUGUUGGUUCCGUAUUGGGGUACUGAUUAAGAGGAGCGGUUGGGGGCAUUGGUAUUUGGCAGCGAGAGGUGAAAUUCUUGGACCUGCCAAGGACUAACAAAUGCGAAGGCAUCUGCCCAGACCGUAUCCAUUAAUCAAGAACGAAAGUGAGAGGUUCGAAGGCGAUCAGAUACCGCCCUAGUUCUCACCCUAAACUAUGCCGACCCGGGAUCAGUUUGGAUUGCAUUCCAAGAUCGAGGUUGGUCCCCCUGGGAAACCUGAAGUUUUUCGGUUGCGGGGGGAGUAUGGUCGCAAGGCUGAAACUUAAAGGAAUUGACGGAAGGGCACCACCAGGGGUGGAGCCUGCGGCUUAAUUUGACUCAACACGGGAAAACUUACCUGGUCCGGACAUCAAAAGGAUAGACAGACCAUAGAUCUUUCUUGAUAUGAUGAUUGGUGGUGCAUGGCCGUUCUUAGUUCGUGAAGUGAUUUGUCGGGCUAAUUCCGAUAACGGACGAGACCACGGUCUCCAUUUGACGACUCGCAGAAGGUGGCUGACGAGUCGCUGGUAGCAAUAUCAGUGAUUUGGCAAUCACUGUAGGCAUACCGAGAUGAACUUUGUGUGUGGUUGGUGUUUCGGCAUYGACUAUGCGCGAGGAUUGUCUUGGUGUCCCUGCGAGUAUGCAUCACUGUUGUUGCAAAAUGGCAGUGGUGUAUCAUGGAGAGACAACGGAAUAUAUCACAAAAUCCGAGGAAGUGUGGCUAUAACAGGUCUGUGAUGCCCUUAGAUGUCCAGGGCUGCACGCGCGCUACAAUGGCGGUGACAGCGAGUUUCUGGAUCGAAAGAUCCGGGUAACCUUGUAAUCAUCGCCGUGAUUGGGAUCGACGUUUGUAAUUACGUCGUGAAAGAGGAAUCCCUAGUACGUGCGAUUCAUGAGAUCGCACGGAUUUAGUCCCUGCCCUUUGUACACACCGCCCGUCGCUACUACCGAGUGAAUGGUAUCAUGAUGCCUUGGGAGCGGACGUCAAACCGGAUUCACGUCUGGAGUGACGCUGCAAUCAGCGUAAAGU
Molecule: ribosomal RNA, 1999 nt
Filed under: Henneguya sp. n. LFR-2019
Lineage: Eukaryota; Metazoa; Cnidaria; Myxozoa; Bivalvulida; Myxobolidae
Description: SSU rRNA
Rfam family: Eukaryotic small subunit ribosomal RNA
Source: RNAcentral